This 491-nucleotide ribosomal RNA is filed under the name uncultured bacterium. RNAcentral describes it as "bacterial SSU rRNA". It matches the Rfam family "Bacterial small subunit ribosomal RNA", at positions 28 to 507 of the family's 1533-position model. The record is from RNAcentral.
GAUGAACGCUAGCUACAGGCUUAACACAUGCAAGUCGAGGGGCAGCAUUUCAUUUUGCUUGCAAAGUGAAGAUGGCGACCGGCGCACGGGUGAGUAACACGUAUCCAACCUGCCGAUAACUCGGGGAUAGCCUUUCGAAAGAAAGAUUAAUAUCCGAUAGCAUAUCAAUCGCGCAUGAGAUUGAUAUUAAAGAAUUUCGGUUAUCGAUGGGGAUGCGUUCCAUUAGUUUGUUGGCGGGGUAACGGCCCACCAAGACUACGAUGGAUAGGGGUUCUGAGAGGAAGGUCCCCCACAUUGGAACUGAGACACGGUCCAAACUCCUACGGGAGGCAGCAGUGAGGAAUAUUGGUCAAUGGGCGAGAGCCUGAACCAGCCAAGUAGCGUGAAGGAUGAAGGCUCUAUGGGUCGUAAACUUCUUUUAUAUGGGAAUAAAGUUUUCCACGUGUGGAAUUUUGUAUGUACCAUAUGAAUAAGGAUCGGCUAACUCCGUG